This 253-nucleotide ribosomal RNA is filed under the name uncultured bacterium. RNAcentral describes it as "partial 16S ribosomal RNA". It matches the Rfam family "Bacterial small subunit ribosomal RNA", at positions 524 to 776 of the family's 1533-position model. The record is from RNAcentral.
UACGUAGGGGGCUAGCGUUGUCCGGAAUCAUUGGGCGUAAAGCGCGUGUAGGCGGCCCGGUAAGUCCGCUGUGAAAGCCCGGGGCUCAACCCCGGGUCGGCCGCGGGUACUGCCGGGCUGGAGUGCCGUAGGGGCAGGCGGAAUUCCGGGUGUAGCGGUGGAAUGCGUAGAGAUCCGGAAGAACACCGGUGGCGAAGGCGGCCUGCUGGGCGGCGACUGACGCUGAGGCGCGACAGCGUGGGGAGCAAACAGG